GGGGAUGCUAGGCUUCGACAAGGUACAUUAACAAAGUGUUUAUAUAGGUCGCGGUGCGCUUUACCUCCGCGUUAUCAAAAGAAAAAGCAAACAUAGAUGCCAAUACAUUUGCAUCACGAUUGAAGGCUGCCUUUGGCGGUCCUUCUCUCGUUCCAGUAAUGGCCUAAUAUAGGCCGCUACUCAUCACUGUCUUUGAGGUUACAUAGGAGACAUUGGUGUUAUAUUUUGUAACUACCGGAAUUUGCGGCCCGCAAAUUCUUGGAAAACCUUCGGGCUUGAAGGCAAUUUGUUUUCGUUCACUUUGAUAAAUUGCCUCGACUAAAAAUCAAGUGAACUAAACCUAUGACCAAAACCUUUGUAAUUACUUUUGGACGCGGGUUCAAUUCCCGCCAUCUCCACCA
This 401-nucleotide transfer-messenger RNA is filed under the name Patescibacteria group. RNAcentral describes it as "2-02-FULL-46-11 sp001779955 Standard tmRNA". It matches the Rfam family "transfer-messenger RNA". Rfam says of the family: Bacterial tmRNA, also known as 10Sa RNA or SsrA, is named for its dual tRNA and mRNA-like properties. Its role is to liberate the mRNA from a stalled ribosome. To accomplish this part of the tmRNA is used as a reading frame that ends in a translation stop signal. The record is from RNAcentral. RNAcentral also lists the same sequence under 1 other name.